Bombus terrestris (buff-tailed bumblebee) is the source of this 6262-nucleotide long non-coding RNA. RefSeq lists it as uncharacterized. Lineage: Eukaryota; Metazoa; Arthropoda; Insecta; Hymenoptera; Apidae. The record is from RefSeq and is a predicted model, not a curated record. The transcript is spliced from 5 exons.
AUCUCAUUAUAAAAGUUCCUCCUCGUUUAUGUCCAUUAUAUCACCGCUUGAACAUCAUUUUAACACGUAAGUGGCACCUAGCGAAUCCCCUAUCAACCUAAACGGUAUAGAGGUCGUUGCUUCCAUCUAACAGAGCUGCUAAACCAACAAAUAUCCAGAGUGACACGUCAGUCACGAUCCGAUCGUCAAUCGCUUAGUCUGGGGCGCGAAAAUUCGAUCUCAAGAUGUUUAAAUUAUUUCUAUCCAUUUUAUUCUUCUUAAUAUCUUUCCUGGCCGUCUGACUUUCUUCGAUGCUCGUCUUCUGUCGAUGUCGCCUAUCUGUCAAUCGGUGCAAGAGCAGAUGUGCAAACAAAUAGGAAAGUACAGAUAGGAAAGUGUGUGACAAAAUGAAAAACAUGGUGGAUGUCAUCGUACAGAAUCAAAGAUCCUCCACUUGAAUGUGUGGGCUAUCGGGGAAAACGGUUUCAAAAAUUUAACACCUGCGGGAUUGAACCUUCGUCAAGAACCGAAGCAAUUGAGUUUCCUGUAUCUGAUCUGCAAUAAGAUUAACGAGAUAUCCCAAGACCUCGAUCGCGGACGUGCCGCAUUUGUGGGGGCUGAAUUUCGGAUUGAACGACAUCGAACCGAUCGACAGGAGCUCGGUUACAGCGGUAUAUUCGCCUCUGGUUAAACGAUAAUAAGGUUAUUAGCGUAGAGCCUGAAGUUUGUAGAUAUAUUGUAGGAAUUAAUAACCUUCCGGAAUUGGGAAACGAUAAACUAACCAUCAUCCAGCCAGGAAUCCUACAAGGAUUGUCCGGAUUGGGCUAUCUCAUAUUGGAAGGAAAUCAGUUAAGCAGAGUGUCUUACAUCGAUUACAAACAACUAAUUGGUUUAUAUGAUUUGAACUUAGACUACAAUCAAAUAGCAAGUAUCGAGAUAGUAUCGUUCCUGGCCAUGAAUUACUUGAAGUUGCAUCCGAGCACGAAUCAACUAACUGUGAUUAUCUUUGCAAUGUUUCAUGGACUAACGGAUUUGAGCGUGCUGAUAAUAAGAUCGUUACAACAACCUGGUGUGUUUGGAGACCUUCCAGUCCUGGCAUUCGUAAACCUUACGAACAACGAAUUAACUGGCAUAAAUUUUGCAGAAUGUAGAAAUUGGUGGAAUAAAAAAAUGUGUAUAAACAUGUGCAUAAACAUGUAGAGCGCAAAAAUCAAUGAGUUGGGCCAGAGUAUGAUAAGUCUACAUCGAGUAGCUAAGAUAGCGGAGAUGGAGGUUCUUUUUACGCUUCUCACUAGUGAGCCAGAGCAGAGCUUUCAGGCUCGCAAGUCUUCGACUUGCGCAACAGCAUCGCAGAGGAUCUAACAAUCUCUCUUCAUACCUUCGUUUCAAUCUUCUUUGAUCAGGAAAAGUUACAAGUCGUAUUGGAAAAACAACAUCUCUGGAUAUCUCCUAACACCUUGUUCUCAUAUUUUUAAAUCGGAAAACGUUCGUCCGUGUCGUUGAAGACACUACAGUUUGUCUAACCCUCUUCAGCAGCGUGAUAAUAUUAGCAAAACAAUCAUAUUCUACUUCUUCCAAUGUGCAUUAUGCAGAAUUAUAACUGUCGAGGUAUUUCUUUUUAUGCAUGUAAAAUUGUCCCAACUAGAAGCAACGAGGAUAUCAUGUUGUUACAAAAUUCGAAUCAACAAAUUUGUGGAAUUGGAGAAGAUAAUGUAUUCAGUUACUUUAAUAGUCCUUGUUUCGAUUAAAAAUUUUCGUUUUUUAAUAUAUCGUCUAAUAUAAGCCGUUGAUGUCGCGUAAAAUGUAAUUUACAUUUUAUGAGAUAAAAAUGGCGAUAGAGUUGUUGUAUAUUUAAGGAUGCCACUUAAGAAACUGUCUUUUAUAUUAUUCCUCUGCUUGUCGAGAUGAAUGUUGGAUAAAAAGGGAGUUUCACACAGGAAAUAAAAAUCACCCUCUUUUCUUUUGUUCCAAGCUUCCUUCGUUCUUUAAUUUGCAUCUGUUCUAUUCUGCUUGCUCGAUGCGAGAAUAUUAUCGUGGAUAUGUAGCUCAUCUUGAACCAUUCGUCUUUUUCCUCUUUCAUUUUUUCCCUCGAGCUUAUCGUUUACGAGAAAAACGCUGGGAACUAAUAGCAUAAAUGGCUUAUACAUAGAAUUCGAAUGGCUUCUAACAAAAAUUGCCAAAAAACCAAAAUUUCCAUCGACGUCUCAAAAAUGUACACAAAUACGUAAUUUAAAAAAUUUUUACGUACUCCAUAAGCAUCCCAGAUGCUGUAAAAAAUUUGCAAUUAUCGAGCUCCAGUACUAUUUUCAGUUAAAUACGUACUUUCUCCAGCGUGAGAAAUUAGUGAGAAACUCGACGACCUUGUAACCGGUUCGUCUCGCUUGUCCUAACUCUGAUUUAAUCAAGCUUACACCGCCAUUACAAUAUUAAGUAGAUUGGAUCAGACGCAAUGAUAUCAUAAUGAUAACGCAUGGUCCUUCCACUUCGACACUCUCUCGUACGACAAUUGCUUCAUCCGCCUGUAUUGACUAGCCGAGUUAAACAGUUGUCUCGACCAGUCACAAUGGCGUUAUUUUAAUCUCUAUAACUUUUUAAAAAUCCUGUCCAUACCGUUUUUUCUUAUUUCCAUAAUUAGUUGCUGUCGUUGGUAGAACGUCGUAUGUAUCUUUUUUCUAUUUUUGUCAUAUUCUUUAAUUGAUACGUAUGAAUUUGUUGAUAUUAGAUCUUGGUCUUAAAUCAAAUGGCCGAUUUUGGCUAACGAAGGAAAUGAUUACAACUGAAUCUCAAGAAGCGGAUAAAAAUAAAGUAAAAAGAACUACAAUAUAUUCUACACCGAUAAUCUGAAACCUUGGCAUAUCUUAGGACACUAAUAAAAAUAACAAAAAAAUAACAAUAAGAAACUGAUAAAAAUAACUGGAAAGUAUACUAUGACACUAUGCACAUUCUCGUCGAUAUCGAUACUCGUAACUUUAAUUAAUAUAAUACACCAAAGUAAGAAUUUCUCUCAAGAAUCACAGCUACCAGUCCAAGUAACAUCUCGAAUAUUUUGCGCAUCCAGUUUCUCACAAAACGAUAAUAAAGCGUAGUAGUAAUUUCGCGGAGUUGGCGUCGCGAUGCUCGAGAGCGUCUUCAUUCGUCGUUUCAAAUAUAUAUGUCUCUUUCCCUUCGUAUCAUUUCCUGUGCCUGUCUCAUGCCACGAAUUGUGUUAUGAAACACGCGAAGACACACAACUCUGGACAGAAAUCCGAACAGUUUCCUUUCCUUCUUUGCGGUCGAUGGUACGGAGCGCUUUUGUGAUGGAGAACAUGCUGCGACACCGUUGCCACAUUUCGGCCGAAGAUGCCCGAAUAAUCUGCACAGAUUCAAUCUCCACGAUAAUACGUCCAAAACUUCGACUCGAAACGUAGCAGGGGCUACGAAGGAGGACGAAGGGUUGUGGCGCUGUUUACUAUUUCCAAUCCGACACAUCGGACCUAUGGCGUCAAUAUAUACAGCAAAUCGUGCAACUGAGAAAGACAAUGUGUCAUCCAAAUAAGUUGUAUUUUUAAUUUAGUUUAUUAAAGGCUACGUUUGCGUUAAUACGAUUAUUUAUCUGCAAUCUUUCUUUCAAUUAUUAUACAUGAUAUUGUGAAAUUCCGUUUUUAACGUUCCAUUAUAUUGUGAAGGAGAAUUGGCUAAGGAUUUACUUCUUAGUUCAUAGCACCUUGUUCUCCAUCAUUUUCUCUUACAUCUAAUCUUCUUUAGAGAUAACAGUGCUUUCUCAAGAGUCCCCGCGGUUAUAUUUAGACAGAAAUUAUUAUUAAUGUGACUGUGUUGCCAUACUAUAUACAAGUAGAUUAUUGUAUUCUGCUUACAAUUUUCUAUUAUAUGAAGAAAAAGAAAUAAUUGGGCAAGACUGAUAAACUAAAGCGAAGCAAAUUAAUUCUUAACUAAAUUACAAGACUUUCUCAAGCACGUUCGUCGAGUAUUCGUCAAACACCUCGCCGUGCCAAUCGAAACUCGACGUCUCGACGAACCAACAUUUCUCGGAAGAUUUGAAUACAAUUUCACGAGAAAAUGUUGCAAUAUUCUAGCGAAGAAUAUAUCUCAGCUUGACGCAUCGUUCCAUCUAAAGAGUUAAAGACGACGUUCCGUUUUGUCGAAUCCCUUCGGAGAAAUGUACGAACAGAAUCUUCCCACCCAACUUUUUCCUUUCAUCGUCUUUCAUACGUUCAAGCAUAUGUACGAAGAUAUUAAGAUGCCAGUUAUUAACGAAGCAUCGUGUAUUAUAUGUAUUUUAUGGUAGAUUCAAAUUCACCGAUAUUUGGUCGUUACAAUUUCUCCAAACAAAUGACUCUGUGCUCUGAUUUUAGCACUUGGAACAUAUUGGCGCGAUACACAUUCAUAUUUUACGCUAAUAUAUAUGUGUAUUUGUGUGCAUACACGUAGUUAAGCAUUUCUUACGUAACUAUGCGCGAUUGCGAAAUACAUCUCAUUUUUACUCAGUUUUAACGCUUGAAAUGUUGUUCCAUCGAGCAAAAUAUCAGGUUUCCUGUUUCUUUUCCCCUCUUCUCGUAAGAAUUUUCUAUGAAAGCACCGAUAUCACGGGCACUUGUCGUUAUCUCCUUUAUAAUUAAAGUUCUUCGGUAGUUCUCCUGAAAAAUUCACGACGCUGAAGAUAUUGAGGUGUGCAACCUCUGUGCCAAGCCGAAACUUUCGUUUGCUGUUUAAUCCCUUGAAACAUGUAAAAUUCAGGUUGAAACGACCUCGAGGAAAAAAAGCGCCAUGAUUUAGAGGGAAUCCCGCGAGAGUGGUAAUACGAUAUACGUUAAACGGAAGUAUUAUGUUCUAUAAGAUGGCAAUAUGUUGGUGAUAUAAACGUGACAGAUAAAAUAAGCUAUUGGAUAUGAGAAAUUUCUUUUUUGAAAUAUUAUUCGCUUACGAAAUAUUCUCCUAAUUUGUAAAUAUUUUCUGCCCGCCGGAGAAAGGCUUUCGAAAAUGUAUUCCUUAAUUGCAUUACAUUCAGGAUAAUAGUUAUGUAUUAUAUUUACGGAAGAAAAAUAAAAAUCCGUUGUGAAAGAUAUACUGCACGCGUAAAAUGUAAAGUAACAAUUCAAUUAUAUAUAUUCAAUAUAUAUUAUUUAAUAAUUAUAUAUAUAUUCAAGUAAUAAUUUCAAGCUGAUUCUUCUGGUAUUAUUAUGGUAUCUUCCUAUUUUUGCUUCGAUUCUUAAACGAAGAAAAAGAUUGAACUCGCAAGGAUACUAAAGUGUUCACUGAAUAUUCUUGCAACAUUCAUCAACAUUGUUAUACCUACAAUGCCCUAAUAUGUCACACUUGCAAAUCUGGAAAAUUUAGUUUAAUCAUCUAUAACCCAGAAUUUUGUAUAUUCAAAAGAAAGAAAAAUUGUAAUUGUUAUAAAUAAACCAUUUGACAUCGAUGUUAAACUGUAUCAAUGAAAUAAAAUAGUUUCGAGUAUAAAUAGUUGAAAUAAAAUAUGAACGGAUAUCGAAUCUUCAAGUUACAUUGUAUUCCAUAAUAUUAUAAAAUAUGAAUGCAUCCUAAGACUCAUAACUAACAAAAAAUUUGAAUCUAAUCUUUAACUACAUUUCAAAAGAUUACUUCAUUCUUAAUAUUAUAAACAGGAAAGUAACUCCCAUACAUCAUUGCCAAUAAAAAAUUGAAACAUCGAAGGAAUUACACGUGGUACGAGUAAUCGAUACGAGUAAGCCGGACAAGCCACGUUAACAGACAACUACACGGUCAUCUCUCUUCACCAUCCUCUGCAGCGAUCGCGUCCAAUUAAUCGUGGAACAAAACGCGGCCAAAUAGUCCAAUUAACGCGUUCAAUUAAUCGACCGACUAAACGCAAAACUAUUCAGCCUCCUGAUCGUUCGAACGAAUGGUUUCGGUAAACACGAUUGUACUCGCGAGACAGGACUGUCACAAGAAUUUGCCAGGCAAACAAACAAUUGAACAUAGAAGAGAUCGUUGGUUUUGGAUGCUAACGCACGAAAAGACAAGGUGGCGACGAAUUCGAGGGCGAGAAAAAUAAAAAACAUAGUCGAUUUGUUUCUCUUUUAUCGGCGAUCGAUCAUUGCUAUCGACAUCCUAAUGGACAUCGAGCAGCACCAUCGGAUGUUCCUUUUCGGCGCUGUAAUUUACGAAGCACCAGCAUAGGAAUAAUGUUGUCGUCGUCGAGACGAAGAAUUGUCUGUGAUCAACAGGCAGCAAGAAGCAUACGUUCCUGCUCGUAGUAGUCCUGUUGAUAUUACACAAAAUAUGAUAUUUGAAUAUACAACGAUGU